CAGUAGCCGCGGGAAUACGGAGGGCGCGAGCGUUACCCGGAUUUACUGGGCGUAAAGGGCGUGUAGGCGGCCUGGGGCGUCCCAUGUGAAAGGCCACGGCUCAACCGUGGAGGAGCGUGGGAUACGCUCAGGCUAGAGGGUGGGAGAGGGUGGUGGAAUUCCCGGAGUAGCGGUGAAAUGCGCAGAUACCGGGAGGAACGCCGAUGGCGAAGGCAGCCACCUGGUCCACUUCUGACGCUGAGGCGCGAAAGCGUGGGGAGCAAACCGGAUUAGAUACCCCGGUAGUCCCUGUCUCUUAUAC
Molecule: ribosomal RNA, 301 nt
Filed under: uncultured bacterium
Lineage: Bacteria
Description: partial 16S ribosomal RNA
Rfam family: Bacterial small subunit ribosomal RNA
Source: RNAcentral